GAUGAACGCUGGCGGCGUGCCCAAUACAUGCAAGUCGAGCGAACGGACGAGAAGCUUGCUUUUCUGAUGUUAGCGGCGGACGGGUGAGUAACACGUGGAUAACCUACCUAUAAGACUGGGAUAACUUCGGGAAACCGGAGCUAAUACCGGAUAAUAUUUUGAACCGCAUGGUUCAAAAGUGAAAGACGGUCUUGCUGUCACUUAUAGAUGGAUCCGCGCUGCAUUAGCUAGUUGGUAAGGUAACGGCUUACCAAGGCAACGAUGCAUAGCCGACCUGAGAGGGUGAUCGGCCACACUGGAACUGAGACACGGUCCAGACUCCUACGGGAGGCAGCAGUAGGGAAUCUUCCGCAGUGGGCGAAAGCCUGACGGAGCAACGCCGCGUGAGUGAUGAAGGUCUUCGGAUCGUAAAACUCUGUUAUUAGGGAAGAACAUAUGUGUAAGUAACUGUGCACAUCUUGACGGUACCUAAUCAGAAAGCCACGGCUAACUACGU
RNAcentral lists this ribosomal RNA (496 nucleotides) under uncultured bacterium. RNAcentral describes it as "partial 16S ribosomal RNA". It matches the Rfam family "Bacterial small subunit ribosomal RNA", at positions 28 to 506 of the family's 1533-position model. The record is from RNAcentral.